This 497-nucleotide ribosomal RNA is filed under the name uncultured bacterium. RNAcentral describes it as "partial 16S ribosomal RNA". It matches the Rfam family "Bacterial small subunit ribosomal RNA", at positions 28 to 507 of the family's 1533-position model. The record is from RNAcentral.
GAUGAACGCUGGCGGCGUGCCUAAUACAUGCAAGUCGAGCGAACAGACGCGGCGCUUGCUCCUCUGUCGUUAGCGGCGGACGUGUGUGUCACACGUGGAUAGCCUACCUAUAAGACUGGGAUCACUUCGGGACACCGGCGCUUAUCGCGGAUAAUAUCUUGAACCGCAUGGUUCGAUAGUGAAAGACGGUUUUGCUGUAACUUCUAGAUGGAUCCGCGCCGCAUUGGGUAGUUGGUAAGGUAACGGCUUACCAAGGCAACGAGGCGUAGACGACGUGUGAGGCGGGUCGGCCACAUGGGAGGGUGACCACGGACCAUGGGCCUACGGUAGGGAGCAGUAUGGAAUCUGCCGCAAUGGGCGAAAGCCUGACAGAGCAACGCCACGUGAGUGAUGAAGGUCUCCGGAGCGUAAAACUCUGUUAUUAGGGAAGAACAAAUGUGUAAGUAACUAUGCACGUCUUGACGGUACCGAAUCAGAAAGCCACGGCUAACUACGUG